RNAcentral lists this long non-coding RNA (307 nucleotides) under Lathyrus oleraceus (garden pea). Its description in RNAcentral is "Pisum sativum (pea) long non-coding RNA (PSAT_LNC002181)". The record is from RNAcentral. Lineage: Eukaryota; Viridiplantae; Streptophyta; Magnoliopsida; Fabales; Fabaceae.
UUUUUGUACAUAUAAUUAUAUAAUAAUUUAUAAAACAUAUUUCAUAUACUUAAUGAAAAUUCAAACUUAAAAUCUUAAAAUUCAAACAUAUAGUAGAAGAUUCACAACAUCACAUCUUAAAAUUCAAACUUAGAACUAUUAUAUGAAAAUUCAAAAGAUCAUCAUCAAAAUGUAUUCUUCAUAUAUCAUCAAAAUAUUCCUCCAAUAUUUCAUCUUCAUCAUCUUUUUCAACAUCUUUUGCCACCACUUGUUGUGCCCUAGAUGUACUUGCAACUUCAAGUAGCCUUGACCUCCUAGUGUAGAUUAC